CUCCAGUUGAUCGCAUGGUCUUCUGGGAAAGCUUUCGCGGUAUGGGAUGGGGUCGCGUCCUAUCAGCUUGACGGCGGGGUAACGGCCCACCGUGGCUUCGACGGGUAGCCGGCCUGAGAGGGCGACCGGCCACAUUGGGACUGAGAUACGGCCCAGACUCCUACGGGAGGCAGCAGUGGGGAAUAUUGCACAAUGGGCGCAAGCCUGAUGCAGCGACGCCGCGUGAGGGAUGGAGGCCUUCGGGUUGUAAACCUCUUUUAUCGGGGAGCAAGCGAGAGUGAGUUUACCCGUUGAAUAAGCACCGGCUAACUACGUGCCAGCAGCCGCGGUAAUACGUAGGGUGCAAGCGUUAUCCGGAAUUAUUGGGCGUAAAGGGCUCGUAGGCGGUUCGUCGCGUCCG
RNAcentral lists this ribosomal RNA (400 nucleotides) under uncultured Bifidobacterium sp. RNAcentral's name for it is "bacterial SSU rRNA". It matches the Rfam family "Bacterial small subunit ribosomal RNA", at positions 173 to 591 of the family's 1533-position model. Lineage: Bacteria; Bacillati; Actinomycetota; Actinomycetes; Bifidobacteriales; Bifidobacteriaceae. The record is from RNAcentral.